This 484-nucleotide ribosomal RNA is filed under the name uncultured bacterium. RNAcentral's name for it is "partial 16S ribosomal RNA". It matches the Rfam family "Bacterial small subunit ribosomal RNA", at positions 30 to 507 of the family's 1533-position model. The record is from RNAcentral.
AUUGAACGCUGGCGGCAGGCCUAACACAUGCAAGUCGAGCGGAUGAAGGGAGCUUGCUCCUGGAUUCAGCGGCGGACGGGUGAGUAAUGCCUAGGAAUCUGCCUGGUAGUGUGGGAUAACGUCCGGAAACGGGCGCUAAUACCGCAUACGUCCUGAGGGAGAAAGUGGGGGAUCUUCGGACCCCACGCUAUCAGAUGAGCCUAGGUCGGAUUAGCUAGUUGGUGGGGUAAAGGCCUACCAAGGCGACGAUCCGUAACUGGUCUGAGAGGAUGAUCAGUCACACUGGAACUGAGACACGGUCCAGACUCCUACGGGAGGCAGCAGUGGGGAAUAUUGGACAAUGGGCGAAAGCCUGAUCCAGCCAUGCCGCGUGUGUGAAGAAGGUCUUCGGAUUGUAAAGCACUUUAAGUUGGGAGGAAGGGCAGUAAGUUAAUACCUUGCUGUUUUGACGGUACCAACAGAAUAAGCACCGGCUAACUUCGUG